This 493-nucleotide ribosomal RNA is filed under the name uncultured bacterium. RNAcentral describes it as "partial 16S ribosomal RNA". It matches the Rfam family "Bacterial small subunit ribosomal RNA", at positions 29 to 507 of the family's 1533-position model. The record is from RNAcentral.
ACGAACGCUGGCGGCGUGCUUAACACAUGCAAGUCGAACGGAAAGGCCUGCUUUCCCUUGUGGAUUGCGGGUACUCGGGUGGCGAACGGGCGAGUAACACGUGAGUGAUCUGCCCCCAACUUGGGUAUAAGCCUGGGAAACUGGGUCUAAUUCCCGAUAGGACUGCAGGGUGGUGCCUGUGGUGGAAAACGAUUUUCUAGUGGUUGGGGAUGAGCUCGCGGCCUAUCAGCUUGUUGGUGGGGUAAUGGCCUACCAAGGCGGCGACGGGUAGCCGGCCUGAGAGGGUGGACGGCCACAUUGGGACUGAGAUACGGCCCAGACUCCUACGGGAGGCAGCAGUGGGGAAUAUUGCACAAUGGGCGGAAGCCUGAUGCAGCGACGCCGCGUGGGGGAUGACGGCCUUCGGGUUGUAAACUCCUUUCGACCGCGAGGAAGCCACCUGGUUGGAAGGGUGGUGACGGUAGUGGUAGAAGAAGCACCGGCUAACUACGUG